GACAUUCAUCUUCAGCUCCUGGGUUUACAUCGCAGACGGCGCUAGAAACAUCCAUCGCCGCAUCGCACUGGCCCCGAAGGAGAAGCAGUAUGACAUCAACCUUCAUCGCCAAGCUUUGCAGGAUUUUGUUGAAAAAUUCAACGAAAUUUUCGACCUCUUUCGAGGCUCAAGGGACGAGUCUGAGUACAACUCAACUCCUCCCACUAGUCGGAUUGGUUCCCACGAGCCCGCGCUUAGGC
This 239-nucleotide long non-coding RNA is filed under the name Setaria italica (foxtail millet). Its description in RNAcentral is "long non-coding RNA (SITA_LNC002309)". The record is from RNAcentral. Lineage: Eukaryota; Viridiplantae; Streptophyta; Magnoliopsida; Poales; Poaceae.